AACGAACGCUGGCGGCAUGCCUAACACAUGCAAGUCGAACGAGACCUUCGGGUCUAGUGGCGCACGGGUGCGUAACGCGUGGGAACCUGCCCUUAGGUUCGGAAUAACUCCCCGAAAGGGGUGCUAAUACCGGAUAAUGUCUUCGGACCAAAGAUUUAUCGCCUUUGGAUGGGCCCGCGUUGGAUUAGCUAGUUGGUAGGGUAAAAGCCUACCAAGGCGACGAUCCAUAGCUGGUCUGAGAGGAUGAUCAGCCACACUGGGACUGAGACACGGCCCAGACUCCUACGGGGGGCAGCAGGGGGGAAUUUUGGACAUUGGGCGAAAGCCUGACCCAGCAAUGCCGCGUGGGUGAUGAAGGCCUUAGGGUUGUAAAGCUCUUUUACCCGGGAUGAUAAUGACAGUACCGGGAGAAUAAGCCCCGGCUACCUCCGU
This 432-nucleotide ribosomal RNA is filed under the name uncultured bacterium. Its description in RNAcentral is "partial 16S ribosomal RNA". It matches the Rfam family "Bacterial small subunit ribosomal RNA", at positions 29 to 506 of the family's 1533-position model. The record is from RNAcentral.